Molecule: ribosomal RNA, 254 nt
Filed under: uncultured bacterium
Lineage: Bacteria
Description: partial 16S ribosomal RNA
Rfam family: Bacterial small subunit ribosomal RNA
Source: RNAcentral
UACAGAGGUGGCAAGCGUUGUUCGGAAUUACUGGGCGUAAAGGGCGCGUAGGCGGUUCGUUAAGUCCUGUGUGAAAUCCCCGGGCUCAACCUGGGAACUGCAUUUGUGACUGCAAGGCUAGAGUACGGUAGAGGGGGAUGGAAUUCCGCGUGUAGCAGUGAAAUGCGUAGAUAUGCGGAGGAACACCGAUGGCGAAGGCAAUCCCCCUGGACCUGUACUGACGCUCAUGCACGAAAGCGUGGGGAGCAAACAGG